This 430-nucleotide ribosomal RNA is filed under the name uncultured Nitrospirales bacterium. Its description in RNAcentral is "bacterial SSU rRNA". It matches the Rfam family "Bacterial small subunit ribosomal RNA", at positions 355 to 776 of the family's 1533-position model. Lineage: Bacteria; Pseudomonadati; Nitrospirota; Nitrospiria; Nitrospirales. The record is from RNAcentral.
UGGGGAAUAUUGCGCAAUGGGCGAAAGCCUGACGCAGCAACGCCGCGUGGGGGAUGAAGGUUUUCGGAUUGUAAACCCCUUUCGACCGGAACGAAUCCCCUCCUGGUAAAUAAUCAGGAGGUUUGACGGUACCGGGAGAAGAAGCCACGGCUAACUCUGUGCCAGCAGCCGCGGUAAGACAGAGGUGGCUAGCGUUGUUCGGAUUUAUUGGGCGUAAAGCGCACGCAGGCGGGUUGGUAAGUCAGAGGUGAAAGGUCACAGCUCAACUGUGACAUUGCCUUUGAUACUGCCUUUCUUGAGUGCAUGAGGGGGAAGCGGAAUUCCGGGUGUAGAGGUGAAAUUCGUAGAUAUCCGGAGGAACACCGGUGGCGAAGGCGGCUUCCUGGCAUGUAACUGACGCUCAGGUGCGAAAGCGUGGGGAGCAAACAGG